AUGGCGGACGGGUGAGUAACGACGUAAGAACUUGCCCUUUAGACUGGGAUAACAGAGGGAAACUUCUGAUAAUACUGGAUAAGUUAGUAUAUCGCAUGAUAUGCAAAUGAAAGCUACGGCACUAAAGGAGAGCUUUGCGUCCUAUUAGCUAGUUGGUAAGGUAAGAGCUUACCAAGGCGAUGAUAGGUAGCCGGCCUGAGAGGGUGGACGGCCACAAGGGGACUGAGAUACGGCCCUUACUCCUACGGGAGGCAGCAGAA
RNAcentral lists this ribosomal RNA (260 nucleotides) under uncultured Leptotrichia sp. RNAcentral's name for it is "partial 16S ribosomal RNA". It matches the Rfam family "Bacterial small subunit ribosomal RNA", at positions 95 to 354 of the family's 1533-position model. The record is from RNAcentral. Lineage: Bacteria; Fusobacteriati; Fusobacteriota; Fusobacteriia; Fusobacteriales; Leptotrichiaceae.